UACGUAGGUGACAAGCGUUGUCCGGAUUUACUGGGCGUAAAGGGCUCGUAGGCGGCCAACUAAGUCAGACGUGAAAUCCCCAGGCUCAACCUGGGAACUGCGUCCGAUACUGGAUGGCUUGAAUCCGGGAGAGGGAUGCAGAAUUCCAGGUGUAGCGGUGAAAUGCGUAGAUAUCUGGAGGAAUACCGGUGGCGAAGGCGGCAUCCUGGACCGGCAUUGACGCUGAGGAGCGAAAGCUAGGGGAGCAAACGGG
This 253-nucleotide ribosomal RNA is filed under the name uncultured bacterium. RNAcentral's name for it is "partial 16S ribosomal RNA". It matches the Rfam family "Bacterial small subunit ribosomal RNA", at positions 524 to 776 of the family's 1533-position model. The record is from RNAcentral.